CGGACGGGUGAGUAACGCGGUGGGUAACCUGCCUCACACGAGGGGAUAACAGCGAAGUAAAUUGCUGACUAAAACCGCAUAAGCGCACAGUAACGCAUGGUUACGGUGUGAAAAACUCCGGUGGUGUGAGAUGGACCCGCGUCUGAUUAGCUUGUUGGUGAGGUAACGGCCCACCAAGGCGACGAUCAGUAGCCGACCUGAGAGGGUGACCGGCCACAUUGGGACUGAGACACGGCCCAAACUCCUACGGGAGGCAGCAG
Molecule: ribosomal RNA, 260 nt
Filed under: uncultured bacterium
Lineage: Bacteria
Description: partial 16S ribosomal RNA
Rfam family: Bacterial small subunit ribosomal RNA
Source: RNAcentral